AAUAAGCGGAGGAAAAGAAACUAACAAGGAUUCCCCUAGUAACUGCGAGUGAAGCGGGAAAAGCUCAAAUUUAAAAUCUGGCGGUCUUUGACUGUCCGAGUUGUAAUCUAGAGAAGUGUUAUCCGCGCUGGACCGUGUACAAGUCUCCUGGAAUGGAGCGUCAUAGAGGGUGAGAAUCCCGUCUUUGACACGGACUGCCAGGGCUUUGUGAUGCGCUCUCAAAGAGUCGAGUUGUUUGGGAAUGCAGCUCAAAAUGGGUGGUAAAUUCCAUCUAAAGCUAAAUAUUGGCGAGAGACCGAUAGCGAACAAGUACCGUGAGGGAAAGAUGAAAAGAACUUUGGAAAGAGAGUUAAACAGUACGUGAAAUUGCUGAAAGGGAAACGCUUGAAGUCAGUCGCGUUGGCCGGGGAUCAACCUUGCUUUUGCUGGGCGUACUUUCCGGUCGACGGGUCAGCAUCAAUUUUGACCGGUGGAUAAAGGCUGAGGGAAUGUGGCUCCUUCGGGAGUGUUAUAGCCCUUGGUCGCAUACAUCGAUUGGGAUUGAGGAACUCAGCACGCCGAAAGGCCGGGUACUUGUACCACGU
RNAcentral lists this ribosomal RNA (584 nucleotides) under Psilocybe serbica. RNAcentral describes it as "eukaryotic LSU rRNA". It matches the Rfam family "Eukaryotic large subunit ribosomal RNA", at positions 45 to 617 of the family's 3401-position model. Lineage: Eukaryota; Fungi; Basidiomycota; Agaricomycetes; Agaricales; Agrocybaceae. The record is from RNAcentral.